AUUGAACGCUGGCGGAAUGCUUUACACAUGCAAGUCGAACGGCAGCACGGGGCAACCUGGUGGCGAGUGGCGAACGGGUGAGUAAUACAUCGGAACGUGCCCAAUCGUGGGGGAUAACGUAGCGAACGUUACGCUAAUACCGCAUACGAUCUACGGAUGAAAGCGGGGGAUCGCAAGACCUCGCCCGAAUGGAGCGGCCGAUGUCAGAUUAGGUGGUUGGUGGGGUAAAGGCUCACCAAGCCGACGAUCUGUAGCUGGUCUGAGAGGACGAGCAGCCACACUGGGACUGAGACACGGCCCAGACUCCUACGGGAGGCAGCAGUGGGGAAUUUUGGACAAUGGGCGCAAGCCUGAUCCAGCCAUUCCGCGUGCAGGAUGAAGGCCUUCGGGUUGUAAACUGCUUUUGUACGGAACGAAACGGCUCUCUCUAAUACAGGGGGCUAAUGACGGUACCGUAAGAAUAAGCACCGGCUAACUACGUGCCAGCAGCCGCCGUAA
RNAcentral lists this ribosomal RNA (498 nucleotides) under uncultured bacterium. RNAcentral describes it as "partial 16S ribosomal RNA". It matches the Rfam family "Bacterial small subunit ribosomal RNA", at positions 30 to 523 of the family's 1533-position model. The record is from RNAcentral.